Molecule: long non-coding RNA, 502 nt
Filed under: Homo sapiens (human)
Lineage: Eukaryota; Metazoa; Chordata; Mammalia; Primates; Hominidae
Description: HSALNT0373848
Source: RNAcentral
AGGUUCAGGACAUGCCACAUAAUCAAUGUGCUAACUUUUCUCGGAGUUGAAAGUGAUAACACACCACCACAUGGUCAAGUGAAUCAUAACCUGCUGGGGCUUGAGGUAUGGAAGACGAACAGUGGAGGAAAAGGUAUCUUCCAGCCUGGUGAAAUGCCGUGGAAAUGUGAGGCCAUUUAUUUUUUCUAAAUGCCCCAGCAACAGCUCUCAUUCACUUGCAGAAGCAAGAGCUGUUCUGACUACUCACAGUAUAUGGUGAGAUCUUUAUUUCUUUGCCUUUUUUUUUACUGUGAGUUUCCUUUUUUGUCAUCAUUGACCUUAUAAUGAAUCACUGCACUGUCUGAGUAAUGAGGCUGCAGUAGAUAAGGUCUCCUGAGAAUAUGAAGGAAGAAGUAUGUUCAGCAACUGAUUACUGACUUAUCCACCUGAUUAUAGUGACCAAUCUACUCAUAUAUCUGAUUUCAAAUGCCCAAUACAAUGUUAAUAAUCUUAUUAAAACUUC